RNAcentral lists this unclassified non-coding RNA (307 nucleotides) under plant metagenome. RNAcentral's name for it is "partial contains 5.8S ribosomal RNA, internal transcribed spacer 2, and large subunit ribosomal RNA". The stretch from base 1 to 105 matches the Rfam family "5.8S ribosomal RNA", at positions 50 to 154 of the family's 154-position model. The record is from RNAcentral.
GAAAUGCGAUAAGUAGUGUGAAUUGCAGAAUUUAGCGAAUCAUCGAAUCUUUGAACGCACAUUGCGCCCCUUGGUAUUCCAUGGGGCGUGCCUGUUCGAGCGUCAUUUCAACCCUCAAGCACUGCUUGGUGUUGGGCGUUUGUCCCGCCUACGCGCGUGGACUCGCCUCAAAGUCAUUGGCAGCUGUUCCCCUUCGGCUCGUAAGCGCAGCACAGUCGGCGCCCGGAGCUCUGGUGGGAUGGCGUCCAGCAAGCUAUAUUUUCAGGCUUGACCUCGGAUCAGGUAGGGAUACCCGCUGAACUUAAGC